AUUGAACGCUGGCGGCAGGCCUAACACAUGCAAGUCGAGCGGAUGAAGGGAGCUUGCUCCUGGAUUCAGCGGCGGACGGGUGAGUAAUUCCUAGGAAUCUGCCUUGUAGUGGGGGAUAACGUCCGUAAACGGGCGCUAAUACCGCAUACGUCCUGAGGUAGAAAGUGGGGGAUCUUCGGACCUCACGCUAUCAGAUGAGCCUAGGUCGGAUUAGCUAGUUGGUGGGGUAAAGGCCUACCAAGGCGACGAUCCGUAACUGGUCUGAGAGGAUGAUCAGUCACACUGGAACUGAGACACGGUCCAGACUCCUACGGGAGGCAGCAGUGGGGAAUAUUGGACAAUGGGCGAAAGCCUGAUCCAGCCAUGCCGCGUGUGUGAAGAAGGUCUUCGGAUUGUAAAGCACUUUAAGUUGGGAGGAAGGGCAGUAAGUUAAUACCUUGCUGUUUUGACGUUACCAUCAGAAUAAGCACCGGCUAACUUCGUG
This 484-nucleotide ribosomal RNA is filed under the name uncultured bacterium. RNAcentral describes it as "partial 16S ribosomal RNA". It matches the Rfam family "Bacterial small subunit ribosomal RNA", at positions 30 to 507 of the family's 1533-position model. The record is from RNAcentral.